UUUGCAUUAAAAGCAGCAAUUGCAUAUGGUAGUUAACAGAAAAAUAUAAACUCUGUUGCUAAAGCUGAUGGUAUAGUAGGUUACCCAGGCAGCUCUGAAGCCUCAUUCAUAUUCAAACCCUAUUGCUAUAAAUGGUGUUCUUGAUGGUGAUACUUGCUGACUUGCUCUGUUAUUAAGGUUGGAGAUGGAAAUGCAGCUUAAACUCUUCAGCACAUUUGAUGCAGCAUUUGUACAUUCAGAAAUGAGCCACAACGCAAUGAUCCUGGGAUCCUGUUGCAACCACCUUAAAACAUCUCUUCAUUCACCAGGCAAGAAGGGUUGAUUACACGUUCAACAGAGCUUGAUUAUCUGUCAGGUCCAGAGAUAAUAACAGAUGCUUUGUGCAUCGAUCUUCUAUCACCUGCUUAAUUUGUUACUGUUCUUAAAUUGUCUAAAUCGACAUAUCAAUUCGGCAUAAGAAAUGACUUGAGUUUUUCUGCUUAAUUUGACAUACUUUAAUAGAACAUUCUGCUGCUCAGGCACCUGGAGAACACCAAAGUAGACGUCGACCUGAUUCCAUCAAAGCAAAAUACUCUUGCUUCCUCAUCUAUCAGCCAUUGACAGUAAAGAGCAUGCAGCUCUGCAUCCAGGGCUUUAUAACGCAUGAAGAGUAUUUUACAAAUCCGAGAAAUUUGAGCCCAUUGGAUAAGGCUAACUGCCAGCAAGGAAAACAUGAAACAGCAAGGCAGAAAGGAAGAAAUCUUCUUACCAACAGUAUUCUUUGCCCUUCAUGGAAUUGGCAGUAAGCGAUAACUUAUAUCUUUCUAAUAAUGACUUGAAUAAAUA
Lacerta agilis (Sand lizard) is the source of this 825-nucleotide long non-coding RNA. RefSeq lists it as uncharacterized. The transcript has 3 exons. The record is from RefSeq and is a predicted model, not a curated record. Lineage: Eukaryota; Metazoa; Chordata; Lepidosauria; Squamata; Lacertidae.